MicroRNA precursor from Aotus nancymaae (Ma's night monkey), 100 nucleotides. The record is from Ensembl. NCBI's taxonomy places the organism in Eukaryota, Metazoa, Chordata, Mammalia, Primates, Aotidae.
GAAAGAAGAACUGGUCAAAAUGAAAAUGCUCUUCUGUCAUUGUAAUAGUUCACAUGGGCACUGACAGGAGAGCAUUUUAAUUUUGUCAAGUGUGUCUGCU